This is a long non-coding RNA of Podarcis raffonei (Aeolian wall lizard), 1594 nucleotides long. RefSeq lists it as uncharacterized. The record is from RefSeq and is a predicted model, not a curated record. Lineage: Eukaryota; Metazoa; Chordata; Lepidosauria; Squamata; Lacertidae. The transcript is spliced from 2 exons.
AUAUAUAUAUAUAUAUAUAUAUAUAUAUAUGACCUUAAAAUUCUUAUUGCAAGACAUUUAUAAGAACUGAUGUGGUGUAGCCAUUAGUGUGUUAGACUAUGAUCAGAAGGACCGAUCCAAAUUGCCAUUAAUCCAUGGUCAAGAGUGGUUGUGAUGCUAAAGGAAGGAGAGGACCAUGAGCUUUUUUGGGGGGGGGGGUUAAAAUGUAAUAAGCAUCCUGUCCAAGCCAUUUUCAGCUGCUAAGAGAAUGAGCAUUUGUGGGAAUGCAGUUUAACAAUGGGGACAAGAUAAGCAUAGUUUAAUCCCAAACUGCCAAAUGGAGAGUGGUCAGAAGCAUAGUGUGUAAACCUCUCUUUUAUCCUUAUCUUAAUAAUUGGUGUGUGUUUUGAGAUAGCGGUAAGAGCCAAAGAAAGGUGUUAGUCUGCGUACACUACUGCUUGACUACUCGUAGCACUGAAGUAGGCUAUAGAUAACAAAUUAGUUAAUUUUUCAAUGUGACACAUAAUUUAUUUUUAAAAAUAGUUGUUUUUUUAAAAAUCGCACACAGCAUUCGUGUUCUGUUUGUGUUCUUGGCUGACUGUACAAAUACGAAUUAAAUGCAAACUUAAGAUGCACCCAGUGUUUGCCUUAGUGUUGUUUGAGGACUUUUGAAAACAUUUGUUUUUCCAAGUGGUAGGAAGCUCGGAGCAGAGUUAACUAGGUGGAUGAGGAACCCUGUUGUUGAAGUUGGCUAAAAAUGCUCAUUAGGUAGUCGAAGCAUUUUAUUUGUAUGUAUUUGUAUUUCAGAAAAGGAAAUGUGCUAAUCUUUACUUUUGCUAUAUUUUUAUUUGAAUAUAAUUCAAUGAAAAGUGAAAGUCCUUGUUGCCUGCUAGCUGGCCGAUAGACUUAAUGAGAACAUGUAGUGCUCUUAAUGCACUAUAUUGAUAUGCUUUUAGUAUCCAAUUAAAUUGUCAGUGCUUUUCCGUUGACUUUCUUACACAAAUAAAAUCUCAUAGUGACUUGCUAGCUUGGAUGUUUUCUCUUAGCUUCACAGGAGAACCGUGAGAAUUAAAACACAAAUGUUGACCAACUUUAAGAAGCAGGCAGAUACAAUUACCGUGGAACAUUAGAGGAACUGUGGGUUAGGUUUAAAACUUGCUUACUGGAAUUUUCUCCCCUAGACCUGCAGCUGUUCUGAGGCCCUUCUGAAUGAAGAUGUGUUAAUCUGUGUAACAUUUUGACAUGCAAAUGCUUCGCAGUCCUUGGUUUCAAAAGUUGGCACUACUACAGGUGCCACAUAAUACCCAUUCCCCAUUUGUAUGAACUUGGUUGUUUAGUGCAAUUUGGAACUCCCUGCCUAUUGAGAUCAAGCAGGUACCUUCACUGUACACUUUUCGGGGCCUGAUAAAAACACAAUUGGUUACCUUGAUGCUUAGAGAGUUGAGAGGUAGAUCUGUUUUAGUAUUUUAAUUUUAUAUAUUUUAAUGUAUGAUUGUAAAUUUUUCUGGAUUUUACUGUUUUAUGUUUUAGUAAAACACUUUGAGGGUUUUUUUACAAUCAAGCGGGGUAUAAAUUUUAUGAAAUAAAUAAUAACAUCUGUAUGCAAAGUUACUAA